RNAcentral lists this ribosomal RNA (253 nucleotides) under uncultured bacterium. RNAcentral's name for it is "partial 16S ribosomal RNA". It matches the Rfam family "Bacterial small subunit ribosomal RNA", at positions 524 to 776 of the family's 1533-position model. The record is from RNAcentral.
GACAGAGGGUGCAAACGUUGUUCGGAAUUACUGGGCGUAAAGCGCGUGUAGGCGGUUUGGUAAGUCGGAUGUGAAAGCCCUGGGCUCAACCCAGGAAGUGCAUUCGAUACUGUCAAGCUAGAGUAUCGGAGAGGUUGGUGGAAUUCUCGGUGUAGAGGUGAAAUUCGUAGAUAUCAGGAGGAACACCGAUGGCGAAGGCAGGUCUCUGGGCCGAUACUGACGCUGAGGAGCGAAAGCGUGGGGAGCGAACAGG